AGCAGCUUGUGAAGCCCAGGAAGAAAGAUUUUCAAUUUUAACCAUUGAUACUAGACAGGUGGCUGGUGGACAGUGGUCUACCUUUUAGGGGUGCAGAGAAGAGAAUCAAUCUCAAGGAAUUACUCAACUUAAUUUUUCUCUCACAAAUACCGAUUUCUAUUAUUUCCAACUCAAAAUUUCUCCAUUCUUUUUGUUUCGGUAGCUCGCGACAUCAGAUCAACAUCGACAGCCUCUCGCGAUUGGUUCGAUAUUCCAUUCCCUCUUUCUAUUAUCUACGCAAAGUGAUCCUUAAUUGCAAUACCAGAUAUUUCACUUUUCAAGCAACCACCGACUCAAGCAACGGUAAUGGGUAUAAUCAGGAGUUGCUUCUCUUUCAUUGCAGGGACGGUCUUUGGGAUUUACGUGGCUCAAAGUUAUCAAGUUCCUGACGUCAAGAAGGAAGCUGACACUGCCUUGUUACAGGCAAAGCAAGUUGAGGAAAAAUAUCGCAAGUCCAAGUAAGAACAAGGGUGGUGGUGUGAUCAUGAUAAUUUUUGCUUUCUUGGGUUUUGUCCUGCAUCGUAUAGGAUUAGAUACCUCUAUUAACUACAAAUUGGUGGAAAAUCUUGACACAAGUGUAAUGUGAGAGCUAUAUUCAGAUUCCUAAAUCUUGGAUAAUGCUAGUAGCUUCAAGCCAGAAAUUUGUUUAAUGGUAAAUCGGAAUUGUAUUUAAUAGCCCGGGGAGUGUUAUGCCCGGAGUGACAAUUAACAAAUGUUAUUGUUAAAAUCAUCCUUUAACUGUUGCUCUUGGUGAUGAUAUCUGAUUGGAAUUUGUUCUUUCAAGAUA
Molecule: long non-coding RNA, 826 nt
Organism: Glycine soja
Lineage: Eukaryota; Viridiplantae; Streptophyta; Magnoliopsida; Fabales; Fabaceae
Exons: 2
Source: RefSeq, a predicted model, not a curated record